This 72-nucleotide transfer RNA is filed under the name Rhipicephalus microplus (southern cattle tick). RNAcentral describes it as "tRNA-Asp". It matches the Rfam family "tRNA". Rfam says of the family: Transfer RNA (tRNA) molecules are approximately 80 nucleotides in length. Their secondary structure includes four short double-helical elements and three loops (D, anti-codon, and T loops). The record is from Rfam by way of RNAcentral. Lineage: Eukaryota; Metazoa; Arthropoda; Arachnida; Ixodida; Ixodidae.
UCCUCGUUAGUAUAGUGGACAGUAUCCCCGCCUGUCACGCGGGAGACCAGGGUUCGAUUCCCCGACGGGGAG